GCUAGUAAUGGCAGGUCAGCAUACUGCCGUGAAUACGUUCCCGGGCCUUGUACACACCGCCCGUCACACCAUGAGAGUUGGGGAUACCCAAAGCCCGUGAGCCAACUGUAAAGAGGCAGCGGUCUAAGGUAGAAUCAAUGAUUGGGGUGAAGUCGUAACAAGGUAUC
RNAcentral lists this ribosomal RNA (167 nucleotides) under uncultured bacterium. Its description in RNAcentral is "partial 16S ribosomal RNA". It matches the Rfam family "Bacterial small subunit ribosomal RNA", at positions 1334 to 1500 of the family's 1533-position model. The record is from RNAcentral.